UAAAGCGGGUAGGCGGCAGGUAAGUCGGUUUGAAAGCCUCGGUUCAACCGAGGUCCGCAUCGAAACUGCCAGGCUGUAGUNUAGGAGAGGAGAGCGGAAUUCCCAGUGUAGCGCUGAAAUGCGUAGAUAUUGGGAGGGAACACCGGUGGCGAAGGCGGCUNUCUGGACUAGUACUGACGCUGAGGCGCGAAAGCUAGGGGAGCGAACGGGAUUAGAUACCCCGGUAGUCCUAGCCGUAAACGAUGGGCAUUAGGUGUGGGAGGUAUCGACCUCUUCUGUGCCGCAGCUAACGCAUUAAGUGCCCCGCCUGGGGAGUACGGCCGCAAGAUUGAAACUCAAAGGAAUUGACGGGGGCCCGCACAAGCGGUGGAGCAUGUGGUUCAAUUCGACGCAACGCGAAGAACCUUACCAGGGCUUGACAUCCCACGAACCUGCCCGAAAGGGUAGGGUGCCCGCAAGGGAGCGUGGAGACAGGUGGUGCAUGGCUGUCGUCAGCUCGUGUCGUGAGAUGUUGGGUUAAGUCCCGCAACGAGCGCAACCCUCACCCCUUGUUGCCACCGGGUCAUGCCGAGCACUCUAGGGGAACUGCCAGCGUCAAGCUGGAGGAAGGCGGGGAUGACGUCAAGUCAUCAUGCCCCUUACGCCCUGGGCGACACACGUGCUACAAUGGCUGGUACAAAGGGAUGCAAGACCGCGAGGUGGAGCUAAUCCCAAAAAACCGGUCUAAGUUCAGAUUGCAGUCUGCAACUCGACUGCAUGAAGGAGGAAUCGCUAGUAAUCGCGCAUCAGCACGGCGCGGUGAAUACGUUCCCGGGCCUUGUACACACCGCCCGUCACACCACGAAAGUCGGCUGUACUCGAAGUCGCUGAGCCAACCCGCAAGGGGGGCAGGCGCCGAAGGUAU
RNAcentral lists this ribosomal RNA (904 nucleotides) under uncultured bacterium. RNAcentral's name for it is "bacterial SSU rRNA". It matches the Rfam family "Bacterial small subunit ribosomal RNA", at positions 561 to 1465 of the family's 1533-position model. The record is from RNAcentral.